Molecule: transfer RNA, 71 nt
Filed under: Eutropis multifasciata (many-lined sun skink)
Lineage: Eukaryota; Metazoa; Chordata; Lepidosauria; Squamata; Scincidae
Description: tRNA-Gln
Rfam family: tRNA
About the family: Transfer RNA (tRNA) molecules are approximately 80 nucleotides in length.
Source: RNAcentral
UAGGAAAUAGUAUAAAGGUAGUACGGAGGGUUUUGGGCCCUGAGGUGCAGGUUCGUGUCCUGUUUUUCUAG